UACGUAGGGGCCGAGCGUUGUCCGGAGUUACUGGGCGUAAAGCGCGCGCAGGCGGCUCGUCAAGCCUGACGUGAAAGCCCCCGGCUCAACCGGGGAGGGUCGUCGGGGACUGGCGAGCUUGAGGUCGGCAGGGGCUGGUGGAAUUCCCGGUGUAGUGGUGAAAUGCGUAGAGAUCGGGAGGAACACCGGUGGCGAAGGCGGCAUCCUGGACCGGUAUUGACGCUGAGGCGCGAAAGCCAGGGGAGCAAACGGG
Molecule: ribosomal RNA, 253 nt
Filed under: uncultured bacterium
Lineage: Bacteria
Description: partial 16S ribosomal RNA
Rfam family: Bacterial small subunit ribosomal RNA
Source: RNAcentral